AACCUAGCACACCUGCGGUGUGUACCUGCGGAGGGAUCAUUACCUAGAGUUGCGGGCUUUGCCUGCCAUCUCUUACCCAUGUCUUUUGAGUACCUUCGUUUCCUCGGCGGGUUCGCCCGCCGGUUGGACAACACUUAAACCCUUUGUAAUUGAAAUCAGCGUCUGAAAAAACUUUAAUAGUUACAACUUUCAACAACGGAUCU
This 203-nucleotide unclassified non-coding RNA is filed under the name soil metagenome. RNAcentral's name for it is "partial contains 5.8S ribosomal RNA, internal transcribed spacer 2, and large subunit ribosomal RNA". The record is from RNAcentral.